This 252-nucleotide ribosomal RNA is filed under the name uncultured bacterium. RNAcentral describes it as "partial 16S ribosomal RNA". It matches the Rfam family "Archaeal small subunit ribosomal RNA", at positions 474 to 727 of the family's 1478-position model. The record is from RNAcentral.
UACCAGCACCCCGAGUGGUCGGGACGAUUAUUGGGCCUAAAGCAUCCGUAGCCGGUCCUACAAGUCUUCCGUAAAUCCACCUGCUUAACAGAUGGGCUGCGGAAGAUACUAUAGGGCUAGGAGGCGGGAGAGGCAAGCGGUACUCAGUGGGUAGGGGUAAAAUCCUCUGAUCCAUUGAAGACCACCAGUGGCGAAGGCGGCUUGCCAGAACGCGCUCGACGGUGAGGGAUGAAAGCUGGAGGAGCAAACCGG